This 254-nucleotide ribosomal RNA is filed under the name uncultured bacterium. Its description in RNAcentral is "partial 16S ribosomal RNA". It matches the Rfam family "Bacterial small subunit ribosomal RNA", at positions 524 to 776 of the family's 1533-position model. The record is from RNAcentral.
CACGUAGGGGCCAAGCGUUGUCCGGAUUUAUUGGGCGUAAAGAGCUCGUAGGCGGUUGGGUAAGUCGGGUGUGAAAACUCCAGGCUCAACUUGGAGACGCCACCCGAUACUGCUCUGACUUGAGUUCGGUAGGGGAGUGGGGAAUUCCUGGUGUAGCGGUGAAAUGCGCAGAUAUCAGGAGGAACACCGGUGGCGAAGGCGCCACUCUGGGCCGAAACUGACGCUGAUGCGCGAAAGCCAGGGGAGCAAACGGG